GACGAACGCUGGCGGCGUGCUUAACACAUGCAAGUCGAACGGAAAGGCCCUGCUUUUGUGGGGUGCUCGAGUGGCGAACGGGUGAGUAACACGUGAGUAACCUGCCCUUGACUUUGGGAUAACUUCAGGAAACUGGGGCUAAUAUCGGAUAGGAGCUACUGCUGCAUGGUGGGGGGUGGAAAGAUUCGGCGGUUGGGGAUGGAAUCGCGGCUUAUCAGCUUGUUGGUGGGGUAGUGGCUUACCAAGGCUUUGACGGGUAGCCGGCCUGAGAGGGUGACCGGCCACAUUGCGACUGAGAUACGGCCCAGACUCCUACGGGAGGCAGCAGUGGAGAAUAUUGCACAGUGGGCGGAAGCCUGAUGCAGCAACGCCGCGUGCGGGAUGACGGCCUUCGGGUUGUAAACCGCUUUCGCCUGUGACGAAGCGUGAGUGACGGUAAUGGGUAAAGAAGCACCGGCUAACUACGUG
RNAcentral lists this ribosomal RNA (468 nucleotides) under uncultured bacterium. RNAcentral describes it as "partial 16S ribosomal RNA". It matches the Rfam family "Bacterial small subunit ribosomal RNA", at positions 28 to 507 of the family's 1533-position model. The record is from RNAcentral.